UUUAUAUAGUUUAAAUAAAACACUAGAUUGUGAUUCUAGUAAUAGAGGACACCUCUUAUAAACC
This 64-nucleotide transfer RNA is filed under the name Leposoma annectans. Its description in RNAcentral is "tRNA-His". It matches the Rfam family "tRNA". Rfam says of the family: Transfer RNA (tRNA) molecules are approximately 80 nucleotides in length. Their secondary structure includes four short double-helical elements and three loops (D, anti-codon, and T loops). Further hydrogen bonds mediate the characteristic L-shaped molecular structure. tRNAs have two regions of fundamental functional importance: the anti-codon, which is responsible for specific mRNA codon recognition, and the 3' end, to which the tRNAs corresponding amino acid is attached (by aminoacyl-tRNA synthetases). tRNAs cope with the degeneracy of the genetic code in two manners: having more than one tRNA (with a specific anti-codon) for a particular amino acid; and 'wobble' base-pairing, i.e. permitting non-standard base-pairing at the 3rd anti-codon position. Lineage: Eukaryota; Metazoa; Chordata; Lepidosauria; Squamata; Gymnophthalmidae. The record is from RNAcentral.